ACCUGGUUGAUUCUGCCAGUAGUCAUAUGCUUGUCUCAAAGAUUAAGCCAUGCAUGUCUAAGUAUAAGCAAUUACAAAGCGAAACUGCGAAUGGCUCAUUAUAUAAGUUAUCGUUUAUUUGAUAGUACCUUACUACAUGGAUAACCGUGGUAAUUCUAGAGCU
Molecule: ribosomal RNA, 163 nt
Filed under: Verticillium dahliae
Lineage: Eukaryota; Fungi; Ascomycota; Sordariomycetes; Glomerellales; Plectosphaerellaceae
Description: partial 18S ribosomal RNA
Rfam family: Eukaryotic small subunit ribosomal RNA
Source: RNAcentral